GACCUGAAGAGUGGGGGUCCCUCAUGGAGCUGAACUCCAAUCCUAAAACUCUUGGGCAAAAGAAAGAAGAGGUGAAAAAAAGGGAAAGAAAGCAAGCAGAUAAUUUCCUCGAAGGAUAAACAUCCGAUUUUUUUCCCCUCACCCCAAAAUAAACAUGCUAGCCACAAGGAAUUAAAAGCAGAAGAGGGAGGAUGUCUCAAUUUGGGGUUGUUCCAGCAAGCCAACCUUCUAUUUAUCCUAGUCCUGGGCACCAAUUGGAGCUGCCAAUUACACUCUGCACCUGGCAUGGGGGAAGACUAACUCAAGAAAUCUUUCUAGGAUGGAAGAACACCCAAAGAAGGCUUCACAGCCAGAAGACCAGACAGGCAGUGACCAAUAUGCCAUGGUUUGUGGAGACCAGUUGUCACUGAGAUCCAGAUGGAAGAGUGCCAACGUGAGGCUGGCAACCUGGAAGUCCCGGCACAGACUCACCUUAGAGUCAUAGGCCACUGGUGGUCCCCGGAUAUAGCCACAGCUGCUUUUAUGAGGAUGAGAUGAUGUUUACCAUGUUUCUUUCUCAACUUACCUCCCUGCCCCCUACCGGCUCUGGGGGUCCUGGAACUUGCUUUGUAGACCAGAAGUCUGCCUGCUUCUGCCUCCUGAGUGCUGGGAUUAAAGUUGUGCGUCACCACCUCUCAGCUUGCUGUUUUCUUACUUCAAAACAACAACAACAAACACAACCAACUUUGCAUCUCUGGUUUCCACAACCAAUGGCUCCCUCUUCCUUCACUCAAGAGUUCGGAUCUUCUUCUGCAGGGCCCAAUCUCUCCUCCACUCCUCCAUGA
This 824-nucleotide long non-coding RNA is filed under the name Cricetulus griseus (Chinese hamster). RNAcentral's name for it is "lncRNA (ENSCGRG00000025403.1)". The record is from RNAcentral. Lineage: Eukaryota; Metazoa; Chordata; Mammalia; Rodentia; Cricetidae.